RNAcentral lists this long non-coding RNA (663 nucleotides) under Daphnia pulex (common water flea). RNAcentral's name for it is "uncharacterized LOC124207775, transcript variant X1". Lineage: Eukaryota; Metazoa; Arthropoda; Branchiopoda; Diplostraca; Daphniidae. The record is from RNAcentral.
AAGAAAAUGAGGAUGGACGUUAAAAUGCAAAAACGAAACGAGAAAAUUUUGGCAUUUUGUCACUUGCCAUGGUCGCUAAAGAAACAAGUUAAACUAUUGGUAAUAAUACUACUGCUUCAAGAGUAUUGCUAAUAAUUUGUGAUAGUGCCUUUUCCAUUUUAAAGGACAGCUGUAUUUGAAACGUGUGAAACGAUGUGAAACAAAGACGUGUGAGGUCAGUCACAAAAACAAUGAAAAUCAUACUUGACUAAACUUCUCCAUGAUCCAUGAGGUUGGUUUGAUUACUAUCGAAAACAGUCCAAUGGCCUUUAUGUUUACCUUCCAUGGAAAACAGCUGCUUUUAGGUGAAGUGAUGGAGACGACAUCACUGAAUGCAAAUUGUUUGCUCAUUUCCAAUGAUGUCAAGGGAAGUGAGAAAGCAAGUGUUGGUGUGUGGGGACAGAAAUGGUAGGAACACUUUUUGAAGCAUCAACGGUUCGCUCCAACAAAGUUUCAUUCGUGAAGAGAAUUGACACAAGAAAUGGGAUCUCACUGCAGAAUGGCAGCAGAGCAGCGUAUGAAAAGUGACUUCGGGAAAUAUUCAUCCGCUUAAUUGAACUUCCAAGAGAUGAUCAAGGUUAGGUAGUCUUUUCUUCUCUUCACCAAAUUCAGUUUGUCGUCGCC